ACUUCAGUGCACGGUUGCAGGGAUCAGCUGACACAGAUCGCUGGCACAGGCUGGUUAGUUAUUUAAUGGUUUCAGGUUAGUUUAUUUGAUCUAAGACUUCAGUGCAUGGUCGCAAAGAUCAGCUGACACAGAUCCCUGACACACGCUGGUUAGUUAUUUAAUGGUUUCAGCUUAGUUUAUUUUCUCUAAAACUUCAGUGCACGGUUGCAGGGAUCAGCUGACACAGAUCGCUGGCACAGGCUGGUUAGUUAUUUAAAUGGUUUCAACUUAGUUUAUCAUAAAAAACUUCAGUGCACGGUUGCAGGAAUCAGCUGAAACAGAUCGCUGGCACAGGCUGGUUAGUUAUUUAAUGGUUUCAGCUUAGUUUAUCUAAAACUUCAGUGCACGGUUGCAGGGAUCAGCUGACACAGAUCGCUGGCACAGGCUGGUUAGUUAUUUAAUGGUUUCAGCUUAGUUUAUCUAAAACUUCAGUGCACGGUUGCAGGGAUCAGCUGACACAGAUCGCUGGCACAGGCUGGUUAGUUAUUUAAUGGUUUCAACUUAGUUUAUCUAAAACUUCAGUGCACGGUUGCAGGAAUCAGCUGACACAGAUCGCUGGCACAGGCUGGUUAGUUAUUUAAUGGUUUCGGUUUGGUUUAUUUUAUCUAAAACUUCAGUGCACGGUUGCAGGGAUCAGCUGACACAGAUCGCUGGCACAGGCUGGUUAGUUAUUUAAUGGUUUCAGCUUAGUUUAUCUAAAACUUCAGUGCGCGGUUGCAGGGAUCAGCUGA
This is a long non-coding RNA of Astatotilapia calliptera (eastern happy), 770 nucleotides long. The record is from Ensembl. NCBI's taxonomy places the organism in Eukaryota, Metazoa, Chordata, Actinopteri, Cichliformes, Cichlidae.